GACGCCUGACACAAGCAGGUACUAACACAUUAUCUCCCACUGAAAUGUAACAUUGAGGUUGAGAGAUUGUGGUCUCCUGAGUGGAGUCACGGGGCAGCCAUCUUCCAUUAUGUAUCCUGGAAAACAAAACAGCUGGUCUGCUAGAAGACAUGAUCAGACCACGCAGUGAGAGACAGACACACAAGGCAGCCAUCUGGGUUCCUAACAGUUCUCUGGUUCCCAGUUCCAUCCCAUCUGAUGCCUAAUGCCAUUUCCCACUUUGGAAUAUCAUGAGAUGACUGUGUAUUCGUCUACAAAGGAACUGAGGCACCAAGAGGUUAUGGAAUUUAACCAAGGUCACACAAUCAGAGUGGAGGAGCUGGGAUUUGAACUCAAGCAGGCUAGUUCCAGAGUCCAUGCUCUUAUCACUACGCUUCCUCUGAAGUCAUACUUACAGGAAAAGAGCAACUGGCAAUCCGAUUUGUGUGAGAGAAUGGAAUAUGUCG
Molecule: long non-coding RNA, 485 nt
Filed under: Homo sapiens (human)
Lineage: Eukaryota; Metazoa; Chordata; Mammalia; Primates; Hominidae
Description: HSALNT0248967
Source: RNAcentral